Molecule: ribosomal RNA, 454 nt
Filed under: uncultured bacterium
Lineage: Bacteria
Description: partial 16S ribosomal RNA
Rfam family: Bacterial small subunit ribosomal RNA
Source: RNAcentral
GAUGAACGCUGACAGAAUGCUUAACACAUGCGAGUCAACUUGAACUUCGGUUUGGGUGGCGGACGGGUGAGUAACGCGUAAAGAACUUGCCUCACAGAUAGGGACAACAUUUGGAAACGAAUGCUAAUACCCGAUAUUAUGAUUAUAUGGCUUAGUAUAAUUAUGAAAGCUAUAUGCGCUGUGAGAGAGCUUUGCGUCCCAUUAGCUAGUUGGAGAGGUAACGGCUCACCAAGGCGAUGAUGGGUAGCCGGCCUGAGAGGGUGAUCGGCCACAAGGGGACUGGGACACGGCCCUUACGCCUACGGGAGGCAGCAGUGGGGAAUAUUGGACAAUGGACCAAGAGUCUGAUCCAGCAAUUCUGUGUGCACGAUGAAGUUUUUCGGAAUGUAAAGUGCUUUCAGUUGGGAAGAAAAAAAUGACGGUACCAACAGAAGAAGUGACGGCUAAAUACGUG